Long non-coding RNA from Clupea harengus (Atlantic herring), 1081 nucleotides. The record is from Ensembl. Lineage: Eukaryota; Metazoa; Chordata; Actinopteri; Clupeiformes; Clupeidae.
GAGAGAGGGAGGGAGAGAGAGACAGACAGAGAGAGAUGGAGACGGAGAGAGACAGAGAGCGAGAGAGAGAGAGAGGGAGGGAAUAAUUAGCAGUGAGAGAAUGAAACACAAGUGUCUAAUUUGGGUGGGAGGUUGGUGUUGUCCCUGGGAAGGCAUCGGAACAAGUAUUCAAAGAUUGUAUUCUCCUAUUUAUUGUAUGUGUGAGUGUGUGUGUGUGUGUGAUUCAGAGCCUGCUGUGAACGCUGGCCCAUGGCAGCCUCCUGAAUGGUCUGAUAGCCUUGUGCACUCAACUCUACCUCUGUUUAGACAUGUUUGCUUCUUUCCUUUUCUCUCCCAUCUGUCUCAGUCUGUUUAUCUAUCUAUCUAUCUAUCUAUCUAUCUUUUAUCUCUCUAUCUCUCUCUCUAAAAACCCUAUCUGUCUAUCUCAGUCCCACUCUUGUUUGUCUCUCUUCAAUUUCUUUUUAUUUCAUUUUUAGGAUUUACAAAUUAAUCUUUCCAAUUUGUCUUUGUAUUCUUGGUGGUUUCCUGUGUUGACAUAAAGAGAACUGCUGUAAAAUGUCUGUGAAUUCUCCUGUUUUUUUCCCCCCUUUUCGAUAUUGGUCAUAUGACUGGUUACAGUUAAUGAAUUAUUGUUGUUGUUUUUUUUUUUUUUAAUGUUCUGUAGGUCAACCCAUUACCUGUGCGCAGUUUGCCAAAAGCUAAAGCGCUAUCUGUUUUGGAUAUUCUCUUAGUUCAUCAUCGGUCUUUCUUUCUAGUGAGGUCUCUCCAACCUCAGGCUCCCGUGUGGCCAAUAGGUUUCACCGCUGCAUGCUGACUCUUCAACCAUGGGUUUUAACUGAUGCUCCCAGUUCAGAAGCAAUGUUUAGGAACCUGCACAAGAAAAAUAAACUUUUAAAACUUGCAAUAAAAACCCCUCUGCCUCAGACCUCCUUAAUAUCAGAGUACACAGACAUAAUUCUUUCUUCAAACUUACUGACAUAGUAGUUAGUAGGAUCUGCAGAAUACAAACACGGAGGGAUAAACUUCACCAAACCUGGACUGUUUGAAGAGCAGUAUCAGCGAAUGGACUGAUGAGAUUAAG